UACGAAGGGGGCUAGCGUUGCUCGGAAUCACUGGGCGUAAAGGGUGCGUAGGCGGGUCUUUAAGUCAGGGGUGAAAUCCUGGAGCUCAACUCCAGAACUGCCUUUGAUACUGAAGAUCUUGAGUUCGGGAGAGGUGAGUGGAACUGCGAGUGUAGAGGUGAAAUUCGUAGAUAUUCGCAAGAACACCAGUGGCGAAGGCGGCUCACUGGGCCGAUACUGACGCUGAGGAGCGAAAGCGUGGGGAGCAAACAGG
This 253-nucleotide ribosomal RNA is filed under the name uncultured bacterium. RNAcentral describes it as "partial 16S ribosomal RNA". It matches the Rfam family "Bacterial small subunit ribosomal RNA", at positions 524 to 776 of the family's 1533-position model. The record is from RNAcentral.